This 350-nucleotide ribosomal RNA is filed under the name uncultured bacterium. Its description in RNAcentral is "bacterial SSU rRNA". It matches the Rfam family "Bacterial small subunit ribosomal RNA", at positions 8 to 353 of the family's 1533-position model. The record is from RNAcentral.
AGAGUUGAUCCUGGCUCAGGACGAACGCUGGCGGCGCGCCUAACACAUGCAAGUCGAACGAGCGAGAGGAGGUUUACUUCUCAAGCGAGUGGCGAACGGGUGAGUAACGCGUGAGGAACCUGCCUCAAAGAGGGGGACAACAGUUGGAAACGACUGCUAAUACCGCAUAAGCCCACGACCUGGCAUCGGGUAGAGGGAAAAGGAGCAAUCCGCUUUGAGAUGGCCUCGCGUCCGAUUAGCUAGUUGGUGAGGUAAUGGCCCACCAAGGCGACGAUCGGUAGCCGGACUGGAGAGGUUGAACGGCCACCAUUGGGACUGAGACACGGCCCAGACUCCUACGGGAGGCAGCA